RNAcentral lists this ribosomal RNA (466 nucleotides) under uncultured bacterium. RNAcentral's name for it is "bacterial SSU rRNA". It matches the Rfam family "Bacterial small subunit ribosomal RNA", at positions 30 to 487 of the family's 1533-position model. The record is from RNAcentral.
AUUGAACGCUGGCGGCAGGCUUGACACAUGCAAGUCGAGCGGUAACAUUUCUAGCUUGCUAGAAGAUGACGAGCGGCGGACGGGUGAGUAAUACUUAGGAAUCUACCUAGUAGUGGGGGAUAGCACGGGGAAACUCGUAUUAAUACCGCAUACGACCUACGGGAGAAAGGGGCGUGUUUACAGCUCUCGCUAUUAGAUGAGCCUAAGUCGGAUUAGCUAGAUGGUGGGGUAAAGGCCUACCAUGGCUACGAUCUGUAGCUGGUCUGAGAGGAUGAUCAGCCACACCGGAACUGAGACACGGUCCGGACUCCUACGGGAGGCAGCAGUGGGGAAUAUUGGACAAUGGGGGAAACCCUGAUCCAGCCAUGCCGCGUGUGUGAAGAAGGCCUUUUGGUUGUAAAGCACUUUAAGCAGUGAAGAAGACUCCGUGGUUAAUACCCAUGGACGAUGACAUUAGCUGCAGAAU